GUGAGGAAUAUUGGUCAAUGGGCGGGAGCCUGAACCAGCCAAGUCGCGUGAAGGAAGAAGGAUCUAUGGUUCGUAAACUUCUUUUGCAGGGGAAUAAAGUGCAGGACGUGUCCUGUUUUGUAUGUACCCUGAGAAUAAGGAUCGGCUAACUCCGUGCCAGCAGCCGCGGUAAUACGGAGGAUCCGAGCGUUAUCCGGAUUUACUGGGCUUAACGGGUGCGUAGGUGGGUUGAUAAGUCAGCGGUGAAAGUUUGCAGCUUAACUGUAAAAAUGCCGUUGAAACUGUCGGACUAGAGUGUAAAUGAGGUAGGCGGAAUGCGUGGUGUAGCGGUGAAAUGCAUAGAUAUCACGCAGAACUCCGAUUGCGAAGGCAGCUUACUAAGCUACAACUGACACUGAAGCACGAAAGCGUGAGGAUCAAACAGGAUUAGAUACCCGGGUAGUCC
This 445-nucleotide ribosomal RNA is filed under the name uncultured bacterium. RNAcentral's name for it is "partial 16S ribosomal RNA". It matches the Rfam family "Bacterial small subunit ribosomal RNA", at positions 354 to 796 of the family's 1533-position model. The record is from RNAcentral.